CAGUCGAGCGAACUGAUUAGAAGCUUGCUUCUAUGACGUUAGCGGCGGACGGGUGAGUAACACGUGGGCAACCUGCCUGUAAGACUGGGAUAACUUCGGGAAACCGAAGCUAAUACCGGAUAGGAUCUUCUCCUUCAUGGGAGAUGAUUGAAAGAUGGUUUCGGCUAUCACUUACAGAUGGGCCCGCGGUGCAUUAGCUAGUUGGUGAGGUAACGGCUCACCAAGGCAACGAUGCAUAGCCGACCUGAGAGGGUGAUCGGCCACACUGGGACUGAGACACGGCCCAGACUCCUACGGGAGGCAGCAGUAGGGAAUCUUCCGCAAUGGACGAAAGUCUGACGGAGCAACGCCGCGUGAGUGAUGAAGGCUUUCGGGUCGUAAAACUCUGUUGUUAGGGAAGAACAAGUACGAGAGUAACUGCUCGUACCUUGACGGUACCUAACCAGAAAGCCACGGCUAACUACGUGCCA
Molecule: ribosomal RNA, 470 nt
Filed under: Priestia aryabhattai
Lineage: Bacteria; Bacillati; Bacillota; Bacilli; Caryophanales; Bacillaceae
Description: bacterial SSU rRNA
Rfam family: Bacterial small subunit ribosomal RNA
Source: RNAcentral